RNAcentral lists this ribosomal RNA (847 nucleotides) under uncultured organism. RNAcentral describes it as "SSU rRNA". It matches the Rfam family "Bacterial small subunit ribosomal RNA", at positions 28 to 887 of the family's 1533-position model. The record is from RNAcentral.
GACGAACGCUGUCGGCGCGCCUAACACAUGCAAGUCGAACGAGAGAGAAGAAGCUUGCUUCUUCGAUCGAGUGGCGAACGGGUGAGUAACGCGUGAGGAACCUGCCUCAAAGAGGGGGACAACAGUUGGAAACGACUGCUAAUACCGCAUAAGCCCACGGGUCGGCAUCGACCUGAGGGAAAAGGAGCAAUCCGCUUUGAGAUGGCCUCGCGUCCGAUUAGCUAGUUGGUGAGGUAACGGCCCACCAAGGCGACGAUCGGUAGCCGGACUGAGAGGUUGAACGGCCACAUUGGGACUGAGACACGGCCCAGACUCCUACGGGAGGCAGCAGUGGGGAAUAUUGCACAAUGGGGGAAACCCUGAUGCAGCGACGCCGCGUGGAGGAAGAAGGUCUUCGGAUUGUAAACUCCUGUUGUUGAGGAAGAUAAUGACGGUACUCAACAAGGAAGUGACGGCUAACUACGUGCCAGCAGCCGCGGUAAAACGUAGGUCACAAGCGUUGUCCGGAAUUACUGGGUGUAAAGGGAGCGCAGGCGGGAAGACAAGUUGGAAGUGAAAUCUAUGGGCUCAACCCAUAAACUGCUUUCAAAACUGUUUUUCUUGAGUAGUGCAGAGGUAGGCGGAAUUCCCGGUGUAGCGGUGGAAUGCGUAGAUAUCGGGAGGAACACCAGUGGCGAAGGCGGCCUACUGGGCACCAACUGACGCUGAGGCUCGAAAGUGUGGGUAGCAAACAGGAUUAGAUACCCUGGUAGUCCACACCGUAAACGAUGAUUACUAGGUGUUGGAGGAUUGACCCCUUCAGUGCCGCAGUUAACACAAUAAGUAAUCCACCUGGGGGAGUACGACC